CACUGAGCCCAGUUAUUAUGGUAUUAAAUCUGUGAUUCUGUGAUGAUUUCUCAACAAUAUAUGGUUUAGUGGAUAACCUUGAGAAUGUAAGCCAAAUAUACAAACGAAUUAUACAUUCCUGAGACAAACACAGACUAAGACAUGCCUAUUGUGCCAUAGAAUCUUCUGAUUUACAUAAUUAGUUGUGGUGUUGCGAUUACUAAUUAAAG
Non-coding RNA from Pelobates cultripes (western spadefoot toad), 209 nucleotides. NCBI's taxonomy places the organism in Eukaryota, Metazoa, Chordata, Amphibia, Anura, Pelobatidae. The record is from the annotation of a GenBank genome assembly.